Long non-coding RNA from Sebastes umbrosus (honeycomb rockfish), 275 nucleotides. RefSeq lists it as uncharacterized. NCBI's taxonomy places the organism in Eukaryota, Metazoa, Chordata, Actinopteri, Perciformes, Sebastidae. The record is from RefSeq and is a predicted model, not a curated record. The transcript is spliced from 2 exons.
UAACAUAUAAAUGAUAUACAUAAUGAGAUGGAUAAACAGGGGGACAAAACAAGAUCAAAUACAACAUCUCAACAAUCAGGUUGAGCAAAUAGAAUCAAACAAUAAAGAUAUUAAAGUGCUGUAAUAAAUACAACCUUUGUGAAACUUGUUAAAUCUUUGUUGAUCUGUCAGAGAGGUGGUGACUCGUUGCUCCUUUAGGAAGCUGUAGAUUAUCAUGUUGUUGAUCUGCCUUAUAUUAAAAUAUGAACAGUACAUAAUAUAUAUUUUAAUGUCUU